CCAUGCAGGACGUCCUUAGAUAUGGUUGGCUGCGGCUAGCACAGAUGAUGAAAACAAGUCAACCUGGACCAGAAGAACAGCGGUGAAGGGUCUACAACAUAGAUUGCCCUGACAACAUUAAGUAUCCCCCAGACUUAGGGUCUUCUAUACCCGAAGUCAAUUCAUUUGGGACCAUAGACCUUUCACCUGCCCUUCCUGCUCCAACAGGCAACUUCAGCUUCCACUCUCCAAUACGAGCAAGAGAUGGAGUCGAGCAGUCUCAAAGAAUUCUUUAAGUAUACUUUUUGUAUCAACCCUUCAAUUUUCCAAAAGCACAUUAUCUUCAGUCCCUCAUCUUUUCUUCGUACUGAUUUUCAAACAUCAAACUGUUCAUGAGCUGCUUAAAUUUUCUCAAACCAAAGGUACACAGACCCUUUAAUGUUUGGCUUGACUUUGUUUGGAUUGGUCACCCAGUUGGUUGUGGCAUAUAAUGCUCCAAGCUCAUGUUGUGUUGUCUCACAAAAACCAAGAUCUUUGGCGGUCUUUAAACUUACCAAACAUCAUUUGUCAUGUAUUUUUCAAAAUGUGGCAUUCUUGUGAUUUUUAUUAUGAGAUUUUUAUUGUCAUGUAUGCUUUGAUUUGAUGUAGGUUGCCAUGCAGGACGUCCUUAGACAGGGUUGGCUGCUGCUAGCACUGAUGAUGAAAGCAUGUAAACCUGCAACAAAAGAACGUCGGUGAAGGGUCUACAACAUCGUUUGCCAUGACAUCAUUGAAGAUCGAGGAGGCUCUUGAAGAGGGUCGGAACACUCCAAGCAGACCACCUUGCUUUCAAGAUGGUAGAGAUUGAAUAGAAACAGUCUAACGAGAACAGCAGUGAUGAACACGGCGUCUAGAGUCCACGUCAAGACAACUGCCUCAAACCAUCAUGAGAACACUGGUUGGAUACUUUUUGUAUCAACCCUCCAAAAAAGCACAUUGUGCCAGUUCCUCAAAAUUUGUCAUCCAACUGUUCAUGAACUGCUUAAACUUUCUCAAACCAAAUUGUAUACAGGCCCUUUCACUUUGGCUCGACUUUGUUUGGACUGGUCACCCAGUUGUUUGCAAAAUAAAAAGUUCCAAACUCAUAUUGUGUUAGUAUUUUUAGAAGCUUUACAUGGUGUGGAGACAUAAGAAGAAACUAUAAAUUAAUAGUAAACUUGUGGGUACAACCAUGUGUAAAUCUCUUAGGGUGAGUGUUGCGUGUUCCCUUAUUUGAGUAGUGUUCAUUUUAAGCC
Asterias rubens (European starfish) is the source of this 1253-nucleotide long non-coding RNA. RefSeq lists it as uncharacterized. NCBI's taxonomy places the organism in Eukaryota, Metazoa, Echinodermata, Asteroidea, Forcipulatida, Asteriidae. The transcript is spliced from 3 exons. The record is from RefSeq and is a predicted model, not a curated record.